Molecule: ribosomal RNA, 420 nt
Filed under: uncultured bacterium
Lineage: Bacteria
Description: bacterial SSU rRNA
Rfam family: Bacterial small subunit ribosomal RNA
Source: RNAcentral
GGGGAAUAUUGGACAAUGGGCGAAAGUCUGAUCCAGCGACGCCGCGUGGGGGAAGAAGUCCUUCGGGGUGUAAACUCAUGAAGCUGACGAAUAAGACGGAAGGGGAACCUUCCGGGACAAGGUAAUUAGUGAAAAGCCCCGGCUAACUACGUGCCAGCAGCCGCGGUAAUACGUAGGGGGCGAGCGUUGCCCGGAAUUACUGGGCGUAAAGGGAACGUAGGUGGCUCUUAAAGUCAGGUGUGAAAAUAACGAAGCUUAACAGGUUAAUGCGCUUGAAACUAAAGGGCUUGAGGGCAAUAGAGGGAGAUGGAAUUACCGGUGUAGGGGUGAUAUCCGCAGUUAUAGGUAAGAAGGCCGGUGGGGAAGCCGAUCUCCUGGGUUGACUCUGACACUGAGGUUCGAAAGCUAGGGGAGCAAAGC